Molecule: non-coding RNA, 206 nt
Organism: Pelobates cultripes (western spadefoot toad)
Lineage: Eukaryota; Metazoa; Chordata; Amphibia; Anura; Pelobatidae
Source: the annotation of a GenBank genome assembly
GUCUCACCAGCCGUCGGGUGUGAUCAGUCUCCCCCGCCGGCUGACGUAAUGAAGGGGAGGAGCAGCGGCGCACCAAGAAGCAGCGACGAGGGACAUCGUCGCUUCCUUUGGGAAGUGACUGGAGGGGUUUUUACUCCUUCAGCAACCGGGGAUGGGAGGUGGGAGGGAGAGGGGACCUGCAAUGCCAGGAAAACAGAUUGUUUUCC